UGAGUACGAGAUGCUACGGCAUCGAAGCAGUCUAUGUCAUACUUCCAAGAAAAGCUUGCAAUGUCAUAAACAAAUAAUGCCUGUACCAUAACCGACACAGGUGGGUAGGUAGAGUAUACUAAGGGGCGCGAGAUAACUCUCUCUAAGGAACUCGGCAAAAUGACUCCGUAACUUCGGGAGAAGGAGUGCCUUAUUUUUAUAAGGUUGCAAUAACAAGAUCCAAGCAACUGUUUACCAAAAACACAGGUCUCCGCUAAGUCGUAAGACGAUGUAUGGGGGCUGACGCCUGCCCAGUGCCAGAAGGUUAAAGAAGUUGGUUAGCAUUAGCGAAGCUGAUAACUGAAGCCCUGGUGAACGGCGGCCGUAACAAUAACGGUCCUAAGGUAGCGAAAUUCCUUGUCGGGUAAGUUCCGACCCGCACGAAAGGCGUAAUGAUUUGGAUACUGUCUCGGAGAGGGGCUCGGUGAAAUAGACUUGUCUGUGAAGAUGCGGACUACCUGCACCUGGACAGAAAGACCCUAUGAAGCUCUACUGUAACUUGAGAUUGAAAUUGGACUUUAUCUGCGCAGUAUAGGUGGGAGACGUUGAAAAUAUUCUUGCGGGAAUAUUGGAGUCAUCAGUGAGAUACCACUCUUAUAAUGUUAGAUUUCUAACUUUGUAUCAUUAUCUGGUCAAAGAACAGUUUCAGGCGGGCAGUUUGACUGGGGCGGUCGCCUCCCAAACGGUAACGGAGGCGCACAAAGGUUUCCUCUGAACGUGUAGAAAUCGUAUCUAGAGUGUAAAGGCAUAAGGAAGCUUGACUGUGAGACCUACAAGUCGAGCAGGGACGAAAGUCGGUCUUAGUGAUCUGACGGUGCUGAGUGGAAAGGCCGUCACUCAACGGAUAAAAGUUACUCUAAGGAUAACAGGCUGAUCUCCCCCAAGAGUUCACAUCGACGGGGAGGUUUGGCACCUCGAUGUCGGCUCAUCGCAUCCUGGGGCGGUAGUACGUCCCAAGGGUUGGGCUGUUCGCCCAUGAAGGCGGUACGCGAGCUGGGUUCAGAACGUCGUGAGACAGUUCGGUCCAUAUCCGGUGUAGGCGUUAGAAUAUUGAGAGGAGCCUUCUUUAGUACGAGAGGACCGAGAAGGACAUACCUCUGGUGUACCAGUUAUCGUGCCAACGGUAAACGCUGGGUAGCCAUGUAUGGAGAGGAUAACCGCUGAAAGCAUCUAAGUGGGAAGCCCACCUCAAGAUAAG
RNAcentral lists this ribosomal RNA (1237 nucleotides) under metagenome. Its description in RNAcentral is "bacterial LSU rRNA". It matches the Rfam family "Bacterial large subunit ribosomal RNA", at positions 1564 to 2808 of the family's 2925-position model. The record is from RNAcentral.